The sequence is a small nuclear RNA, 91 nucleotides long. Its record names the gene U2. It matches the Rfam family "U2 spliceosomal RNA". Rfam says of the family: U2 is a small nuclear RNA (snRNA) component of the spliceosome (involved in pre-mRNA splicing). Complementary binding between U2 snRNA (in an area lying towards the 5' end but 3' to hairpin I) and the branchpoint sequence (BPS) of the intron results the bulging out of an unpaired adenosine, on the BPS, which initiates a nucleophilic attack at the intronic 5' splice site, thus starting the first of two transesterification reactions that mediate splicing. The record is from Ensembl.
AUCGCUUCUCGGCCUUUUGGCUAAGAUCAAGUGUAGUAAACCUCUAAUUCAGUUUAUGAUUUGAAUUUAUCUUUGAACAUUUUAAGCCUUU